RNAcentral lists this transfer RNA (59 nucleotides) under uncultured Porphyromonas sp. It matches the Rfam family "tRNA", at positions 8 to 63 of the family's 71-position model. Rfam says of the family: Transfer RNA (tRNA) molecules are approximately 80 nucleotides in length. Their secondary structure includes four short double-helical elements and three loops (D, anti-codon, and T loops). The record is from RNAcentral. Lineage: Bacteria; Pseudomonadati; Bacteroidota; Bacteroidia; Bacteroidales; Porphyromonadaceae.
CGUUGGCCGAGUGGUUAGGCACCGGUCUGCAAAACCGUUUACGGCGGUUCGAUUCCGCC